CAACCCUCAAGCUCCGGCUUGGUGUUGGGGAUCGGCAGCCCGGCUUCGCGCCGACGCCGUCCCCCAAAUGCAGUGGCGGUCACGCUGUAGCUUCCUAUGCGUAGUAGCACACCUCGCACUGGAGAGCAGCGCGGCCACGCCGUAAAACCCCCUACUUUUUGU
This 162-nucleotide unclassified non-coding RNA is filed under the name uncultured Mariannaea. Its description in RNAcentral is "sequence contains ITS2". Lineage: Eukaryota; Fungi; Ascomycota; Sordariomycetes; Hypocreales; Clavicipitaceae. The record is from RNAcentral.